RNAcentral lists this ribosomal RNA (392 nucleotides) under uncultured bacterium. RNAcentral describes it as "bacterial SSU rRNA". It matches the Rfam family "Bacterial small subunit ribosomal RNA", at positions 28 to 417 of the family's 1533-position model. The record is from RNAcentral.
GAUGAACGCUAGCGGCAGGCUUAAUACAUGCAAGUCGAGGGGCAACAGGGGUAGCAAUAUCUGCUGGCGACCGGCAAACGGGUGCGGAACACGUACAGAACCUUCCUUUAAGCGGGGGAUAGCCCAUAGAAAUGUGGAUUAAUACCCCAUAGUAAUAUUUGGUGGCAUCAUUAGAUAUUUAAAGAUUUAUCACUUAAAGAUGGCUGUGCGGCUGAUUAGGUAGUUGGUCGGGGUAACGGCCACCAAGCCAUCGAUCAGUAACUGGUGUGAGAGCACGACCAGUCACACGGGCACUGAGACACGGGCCCGACUCCUACGGGAGGCAGCAGUAAGGAAUAUUGGUCAAUGGACGCAAGUCUGAACCAGCCAUGCCGCGUGAAGGAUGAAGGCCC